Molecule: ribosomal RNA, 245 nt
Filed under: uncultured bacterium
Lineage: Bacteria
Description: partial 16S ribosomal RNA
Rfam family: Bacterial small subunit ribosomal RNA
Source: RNAcentral
AUGGCGACCGGCGCACGGGUGAGUAACGCGUAUGCAACCUGCCCGAUACCGGGGGAUAGCCCAUGGAAACGUGGAUUAACACCCCAUAGUACUUUUAUCCUGCCUGGGAUGGGAGUUAAAUGUUCAAGGUAUCGGAUGGGCAUGCGUCCUAUUAGUUAGUUGGCGGGGUAACAGCCCACCAAGACGAUGAUAGGUAGGGGUUCUGAGAGGAAGGUCCCCCACAUUGGAACUGAGACACGGUCCAA